GGCGGCGUGCUUAACACAUGCAAGUCGAACGAUGAACCACUUCGGUGGGGAUUAGUGGCGAACGGGUGAGUAACACGUGGGCAAUCUGCCCUUCACUCUGGGACAAGCCCUGGAAACGGGGUCUAAUACCGGAUAACACUUCCACUCUCCUGGGUGGAGGUUAAAAGCUCCGGCGGUGAAGGAUGAGCCCGCGGCCUAUCAGCUUGUUGGUGAGGUAAUGGCUCACCAAGGCGACGACGGGUAGCCGGCCUGAGAGGGCGACCGGCCACACUGGGACUGAGACACGGCCCAGACUCCUACGGGAGGCAGCAGUGGGGAAUAUUGCACAAUGGGCGAAAGCCUGAUGCAGCGACGCCGCGUGAGGGAUGACGGCCUUCGGGUUGUAAACCUCUUUCAGCAGGGAAGAAGCGAAAGUGACGGUACCUGCAGAAGAAGCGCCGGCUAACUACGUGCCAGCAGCCGCGGUAAUACGUAGGGCGCAAGCGUUGUCCGGAAUUAUUGGGCGUAAAGAGCUCGUAGGCGGCUUGUCACGUCGGGUGUGAAAGCCCGGGGCUUAACCCCGGGUCUGCAUUCGAUACGGGCUAGCUAGAGUGUGGUAGGGGAGAUCGGAAUUCCUGGUGUAGCGGUGAAAUGCGCAGAUAUCAGGAGGAACACCGGUGGCGAAGGCGGAUCUCUGGGCCAUUACUGACGCUGAGGAGCGAAAGCGUGGGGAGCGAACAGGAUUAGAUACCCUGGUAGUCCACGCCGUAAACGGUGGGAACUAGGUGUUGGCGACAUUCCACGUCGUCGGUGCCGCAGCUAACGCAUUAAGUUCCCCGCCUGGGGAGUACGGCCGC
This 836-nucleotide ribosomal RNA is filed under the name Streptomyces sp. IM-6784. Its description in RNAcentral is "bacterial SSU rRNA". It matches the Rfam family "Bacterial small subunit ribosomal RNA", at positions 38 to 889 of the family's 1533-position model. Lineage: Bacteria; Bacillati; Actinomycetota; Actinomycetes; Kitasatosporales; Streptomycetaceae. The record is from RNAcentral.